This 256-nucleotide ribosomal RNA is filed under the name uncultured bacterium. RNAcentral describes it as "partial 16S ribosomal RNA". It matches the Rfam family "Bacterial small subunit ribosomal RNA", at positions 524 to 776 of the family's 1533-position model. The record is from RNAcentral.
GACGUAGGUGGCGAACGUUAUCCGGAAUUAUUGGGCGUAAAGGGUGCGUAGAUGGCCUGAUAAGUUAGCAGUGGGAAAUCGAGGCUCAACCUCGUGGAAGCUGGUAAUACUGUCAGGCUCGAGUGCAGGAGAGGUUAACGGAACUCCAUGUGGAGCGGUAAAAUGUGUAGAUAUAUGGAAGAACACCGAUAACGGCGAAGGCAGCUUCCUGGGUCGGCCCUGACGCUGAGGCGCGAAAGCGUGGGGAGCGAACGGG